This 572-nucleotide ribosomal RNA is filed under the name uncultured bacterium. RNAcentral's name for it is "bacterial SSU rRNA". It matches the Rfam family "Bacterial small subunit ribosomal RNA", at positions 197 to 770 of the family's 1533-position model. The record is from RNAcentral.
CGGGGGAAAGAUUUAUCGCCGAAAGAUCGGCCCGCGUCUGAUUAGCUAGUUGGUGAGGUAAAGGCUCACCAAGGCGACGAUCAGUAGCUGGUCUGAGAGGAUGAUCAGCCACAUUGGGGACUGAGACACGGCCCCAAACUCCUACGGGGAGGCAGCAGUGGGGAAUAUUGGGACGAAUGGGGCGCAAAGCCUGGAUCCAAGCCCAUGCCGCGUGAGUGAUGAAAGGCCCUUAGGGUUGUAAAAGCUCUUUUGUCCGGGAAAGAUAAAUGACUGUACCGGAAAGAAAUAAGCCCCGGCUAACUUCGUGCCAAGCAGCCGCGGUAAUACGAAGGGGGCUAGCGUUGCUUCGGAAUCACUGGGCGUAAAGGGCGCGUAGGCGGACUUUUAAGUCGGAGGUGAAAGCCCAGGGCUCAACCCUGGAAUUGCCUUCGAUACUGGGAGUCUUGAGUUCGGAAGAGGUUGGUGGAACUGCGAGUGUAGAGGUGAAAUUCGUAGAUAUUCGCAAGAACACCGGUGGCGAAGGCGGCCAACUGGUCCGAAACUGACGCUGAGGCGCGAAAGCGUGGGGAGCA